Molecule: ribosomal RNA, 634 nt
Filed under: Penicillium lapidosum
Lineage: Eukaryota; Fungi; Ascomycota; Eurotiomycetes; Eurotiales; Aspergillaceae
Description: eukaryotic LSU rRNA
Rfam family: Eukaryotic large subunit ribosomal RNA
Source: RNAcentral
UUGACCUCGGAUCAGGUAGGGAUACCCGCUGAACUUAAGCAUAUCAAUAAGCGGAGGAAAAGAAACCAACAGGGAUUGCCUCAGUAACGGCGAGUGAAGCGGCAAGAGCUCAAAUUUGAAAGCUGGCUCCUUCGGGGUCCGCAUUGUAAUUUGCAGAGGAUGUUUCGGGAGCAGCCCCCAUCUAAGUGUCCUGGAACGGACCGUCAUAGAGGGUGAGAAUCCCGUAUGGGAUGGGGUGUCUGCGCCCAUGUGAAACUCCUUCGACGAGUCGAGUUGUUUGGGAAUGCAGCUCUAAAUGGGUGGUAAAUUUCAUCUAAAGCUAAAUAUUGGCCGGAGACCGAUAGCGCACAAGUAGAGUGAUCGAAAGAUGAAAAGCACUUUGAAAAGAGAGUUAAAAAGCACGUGAAAUUGUUGAAAGGGAAGCGCUUGCGAUCAGACUCGCCUUGGGGGUUCAGCCGGCAUUCGUGCCGGUGUACUUCCCCCAGGGCGGGCCAGCGUCGGUUUGGGUGGCUGGUCAAAGGCCCUUGGAAUGUAACGCCUCUCGGGGCGUCUUAUAGCCAAGGGUGCCAUGCAGCCUACCUGGACCGAGGAACGCGCUUCGGCUCGGACGCUGGCAUAAUGGUCGUAAGCGACC